This 253-nucleotide ribosomal RNA is filed under the name uncultured bacterium. RNAcentral's name for it is "partial 16S ribosomal RNA". It matches the Rfam family "Bacterial small subunit ribosomal RNA", at positions 524 to 776 of the family's 1533-position model. The record is from RNAcentral.
UACGUAGGGCGCAAGCGUUGUCCGGAAUUAUUGGGCGUAAAGAGCGUGUAGGCGGCCAGGUAGGUCUGCUGUGAAAACUCGAGGCUUAACCUCGAGACGUCGGCGGAAACCAUCUGGCUAGAGUCCGGAAGAGGAGAGUGGAAUUCCUGGUGUAGCGGUGAAAUGCGCAGAUAUCAGGAAGAACACCCGUGGCGAAGGCGGCUCUCUGGGACGGUACUGACGCUGAGACGCGAAAGCGUGGGGAGCGAACAGG